Long non-coding RNA from Polypterus senegalus (gray bichir), 2148 nucleotides. RefSeq lists it as uncharacterized. The record is from RefSeq and is a predicted model, not a curated record. The transcript has 2 exons. NCBI's taxonomy places the organism in Eukaryota, Metazoa, Chordata, Cladistia, Polypteriformes, Polypteridae.
UCUUUUUUUUUAAAAGCGUACUUGCAUACUUUAGUCACAUGAAACUGGUUGCAGGAGGAACUCUUAAACAAUCGUCAACUGGCAGCUUUGCUUAUUUGUAAAGACUACUUACAUAAAGGCAGUGAGUGUUAUACUGUAUACAUCCUGAACAGAAGGCAUCUGGGUGCUGGUAAUAUUCUUUGCCACCUUCACCACACUCUCCAGAGAUUUACAUCUUUGAGCUGAGCAUGUGCUGUUCCAUGAUGUUAUGAAUCCAGUGUACUGUGCAACUGUGGAGGUUUGUGGGGAGCCUUUUUCACAAGAGACAAAAUUUGUUAUGCCUACUUCAGUUUGUCGGUCAUAGUCAGUCUAAGAAAUUUAAAACUGCUCGCCCUUUAGAUUGUAUUCCCUCUUCUAUGGAUGGCAGUGUGGUCAGAGUGGCCUUUUCCUUCCUAAAGUUUAAGACCAGCAACUUGGUUUUCCUGACAUUAAGGGUGAGAUUGUUGCCCUAGCACCAUGGCAUCUACAGGUAAACCACAUCUGUGUCAUUCAUGAUGGUGCUGUCAUCAGCAAAUUUAAUGAUGGAGUUGGAGUUGUUUCUGGCCACGCAGUCAUAGGUGAACAACAAGGAUGGAAGACGACUUACGACACUACCCUGCAUGGUGCCUGUUUUGAGGAUGUUGCCAGUCCACAUAUGCUGAGGUUUGUUGGUUAGUGAUUCUAAAAUCCAGUUGCAGAGGGUGGCACUAAGUCCUAAAUUGAGGGGUUUGGUAGUUAUCUUUGAUAAAACAGCCAUGUUAAAUAAUGAGCUGUCAUCUAUAAACAAAAAGGGAAGACUGACAUUUUGAAGCAAGGAAGACAAAAGUUUCAAGGUAAGGUAGUAAUACUCAUCAAUCAUGGUACUGGAGAGUAGUACAAUGUUGCAUGUUGAUUACCAUAUGAAAUUAAGAAAAUCUGAGGUGUGGGAAUUUUAAUCCAUUAAAAUAUUGCCCACUGAGGGUUGAUAUGUCAUGGUUGUUGUGAAUUUAUUUAAAUCCAAAAUAAUUUUCGUUAACGUAUACUAUAUGCUCUGAAUAUGGACAAAGGAGAAUUUAGGCAGAAUAGAUUACUUCCCAAAGUGAAAAUGGAUGGAGAUUUUAUUUGUGUAUUAAAUCCGGACUUAGAUGGGUUCAACUGCAACUGUAACAUUUAAACUUACAAAGACAAUUACACAAUCUAUUAAGGAUCAAAAUCUGUCUGACUCAUGUAGAAUUUUGUUUCCAAUUCAAGAGAAUGUUCAUUCUUCUCAUCAGUACAUAAUAAUUAUUCAAGAAUUUAUUGUUAAUAAUUUUCUACCCAUUAUCACAUUUUGUAAGUACAUGUACAACCAUGCACCACUUAUUUUGGAGAUUACAUUAUUAUGCCCUAUUGCCUUAUCUUAGAAUUGGCAUAUUAACCCCUUAUUAAUAGCAGACGAGGACUUUCUAGAAUUAAUCUCUAUACAAAUUAAUAUUUUUUAGACAUCAGUGCUUCCCCUUUAAACUCUAGGAAAGAUAGAAGGAAGUUUUAAAAGGACAAAUCAUAUUGUGUGUUUUGUAUAAGAAUAAAUUGGUGUUAGAACUGACUUUGGAGAUUUCCUGAAUUUACCAUGAAUAUGUUAGAUCACCUAGUCUUUUGACUCUACACAGGGAAACAGAUCAACUUAUCUUUAAAUAACAUCUUCAUUAUUAUGAAUAUGGAGGCAAGACAAUAAGAUUUUAGCUCAAUAAAUACAUAAACAGGAAGUCUGAAAUGUAGUAAUAGAGAUAAACAGUGUAACUGGAAAUAACAUCAGGGAGCACAAAGAAUUAUCUAUCACAAUCAAGGAAUAAUAUAAGUCCUUAUAUUCCUCUCAGUAUUGAGAAAACAAGGCUCAAAUUAAGGAUUUCUCUUUUUGAUCAAAUAUAAAAACCACAACUUUGUACAUAUUACCAGAUGCCAUAAAGCCAUUGCAGAAUGGAAAAGCUGCACAACCAGAUGGAUAUCCAACUGAAUGUAUUUAAAGAAAAAAAAAUUUUAAGUCAGCCCCAGUAUUGUUAGAGAAAAUAAAAUUCUACCUUAAACAUUACACCUAGUGUCAAUUACUGUGUUUCCUAAGAGCAAUAAAGACUUGCUACAUACUGUGUCAUAUAGACCAAUUUUACUCCUAAA